GCCCAGAGGAGGUCACAGAAGAAGACAGCACAGAGAGGAGAUCUGGCGAAGCAGACGGAGGGCGAGGAAGGCGGCAUGGAAGUGUCAUCGCUGGAAAGCACGCUGCCACCAGGAGUGAUCCGGCAGAGUCUCGGCUCCUUUCCCACAUGGACCCUUCCAUGACAAGGGCGCUGGGACUAAAGCCAGCAAGCUAUGGAAACAUUGGCCAGGAACAGAAAGGCCCUUCUGGAAAGCUGCACAGACAGUGCCCGCCUCCACCCCCAUACCGCCAGGCCCCAAGGCCCAAGACAGCCCCAUCUAGCGGGUCCCCCCCACCCCAUGCAUGUCUGCCUAUCGGCACAUUUGUGAGGACCCAACCCCACUUUCCAGACAGCAAAUCCUCACCAAGGUGCUCAGUGAACCACUUCGCCUGCCAUGCACACGUCUGUGCGUGAAAAUCGAGGGAGCAUGCAGCCAGGCCGCCCGGGGCGCAUGUGUGUCACCACCACCUAAGCGUUCAACAGGAGGAACAUCGUGUGCGAGACUUGUGUGCACUUGGACAGCCUAUCCUCACAGGGGCAUAAGGGCAGUAAGAUCUGACAUAAAACGAAUAACGUGUUGUUCCAUAACCUGGCUUUCAAAAAAUGACAUUUCCUUCUGGCAGGCCUCUCUCUGUCCCCGCCCAGAGAAAAUGCCUCUCAGCCUACUAUCACAGGCCGUUUCUGUAAUGUAACAAUGUGUCCAGACUGUAUUAGGAAUAUGGAUGUAAAACUGCAAGCUAGAAAAGCUUUGUAACCAUGCAUUCACCCGUGUAUCUCCUAGGCCAUGACGAAGCAAUCGUACUGAUUACACCAGGCCAUCAUGAAGCAUUCACCCUUCAUUGGUUACUGGACAACAGGAGAGUUUGAACAGUUAAGUGUUCUGGGGACCAAACGUUAUACAUGGAUUUUCAAUUGUGGGCAGGGUGGAACCCCGAACACCAAGUUGUUCUACGGUCAGCUCUACUCAUCCUUGGGGAAGAACGAAGCAAGCAGGACCUUUGUGAACAACAGAAAAGAGUAAAAUAGAAAUAGAUUUUCUGUUUUAA
This is a long non-coding RNA of Acinonyx jubatus (cheetah), 1066 nucleotides long. RefSeq lists it as uncharacterized. The transcript is spliced from 2 exons. The record is from RefSeq and is a predicted model, not a curated record. Lineage: Eukaryota; Metazoa; Chordata; Mammalia; Carnivora; Felidae.